Molecule: long non-coding RNA, 437 nt
Filed under: Cricetulus griseus (Chinese hamster)
Lineage: Eukaryota; Metazoa; Chordata; Mammalia; Rodentia; Cricetidae
Description: lncRNA (ENSCGRG00000024762.1)
Source: RNAcentral
AUCUGCUUGACCAGAAGCAUCUUGAUUGGAAUCCUCAUAACAAGAACUGAAACUAGUUAUGGAAAGAAGUGCAAAUUUGACAAUGCCACCAAGAGCAGACCAAAGAGGAAUGCUUGGAUCUUAAGAAUGGCAGUAAUGAAGAAGUUAGGUAUUGCUCAAAAUACCAGGCUCCACAAAGGGAUGUCUGCUCUAAUGGUAUUUAUUGAUCUGUAUUAUGUUGGAGUCAGCCUGAAUAAACAGAGAUGACCACUACAUGGCAUCAGCUAAAUUGCUGUGGUGCUCUACAUAGCUACAGAGAAAUCUUGAUCCACCUGAGCAUGGAAUGAUACUGAAGAAAGCAAACCUAAAAGGCUAAGAGUCAAACCACACUUUCUUAGGGAGCAUACUGUUUUCUGUCUAUAAAUGUAUCUUCAUCUGCUACUGUUACCAACUUCUAC